GUGCUCACUUUGGCAGCACAUAUACCAAAAUUGGAAUGACAGAGAGAAGAUUAGCAUAGCCCCUGCGCAGAUAAUAUUUUAUUGUUGAAAAUUAAAAGAAGCCAAC
This is a small nuclear RNA of Sorex araneus (European shrew), 106 nucleotides long. Lineage: Eukaryota; Metazoa; Chordata; Mammalia; Eulipotyphla; Soricidae. The record is from RefSeq and is a predicted model, not a curated record.